Cebus imitator (Panamanian white-faced capuchin) is the source of this 122-nucleotide long non-coding RNA. RefSeq lists it as uncharacterized. Lineage: Eukaryota; Metazoa; Chordata; Mammalia; Primates; Cebidae. The record is from RefSeq and is a predicted model, not a curated record. The transcript is spliced from 2 exons.
CCUGUAGUCUCAGCUACUUGGGAGGCUGAGACAGAAGAAUAACUUGAAUUGGGGAGAGGGAGGUUGCAGUAAGCCAAGAUCGCACCACUGCACUCCAGCCUGGUGACAGUGAGACUCUCUCU